UGGGGAAUAUUGCACAAUGGAGGGAACUCUGAUGCAGCGACGCCGCGUGAACGAAGAAGGCUUUCGAGUCGUAAAGUUCUUUUAUAUGGGAAGAUAAUGACGGUACUAUAAGAAAAAGCCCCGGCUAAUUACGUGCCAGCAGCCGCGGUAAUACGUAGGGGGCUAGCGUUGUCCGGAAUCACUGGGCGUAAAGGGUUCGCAGGCGGAAAUGCAAGUCAGGUGUAAAAGGCAGUAGCUUAACUACUGUAAGCAUUUGAAACUGCAUAUCUUGAGAAGAGUAGAGGUAAGUGGAAUUUUUAGUGUAGCGGUGAAAUGCGUAGAUAUUAAAAAGAAUACCGGUGGCGAAGGCGACUUACUGAGCUCAAUCUGACGCUGAGGAACGAAAGCGUGGGUAGCAAACAGG
RNAcentral lists this ribosomal RNA (403 nucleotides) under Fusobacteriota bacterium. RNAcentral describes it as "Fusobacteria bacterium partial 16S ribosomal RNA". It matches the Rfam family "Bacterial small subunit ribosomal RNA", at positions 355 to 776 of the family's 1533-position model. Lineage: Bacteria; Fusobacteriati; Fusobacteriota. The record is from RNAcentral.